RNAcentral lists this ribosomal RNA (519 nucleotides) under uncultured bacterium. RNAcentral describes it as "bacterial SSU rRNA". It matches the Rfam family "Bacterial small subunit ribosomal RNA", at positions 8 to 518 of the family's 1533-position model. The record is from RNAcentral.
AGAGUUUGAUCCUGGCUCAGGAUGAACGCUAGCUACAGGCUUAACACAUGCAAGUCGAGGGGCAGCAUUGGAGUAGCAAUACUCAGAUGGCGACCGGCGCACGGGUGAGUAACACGUAUCCAACCUGCCGCUUACUCGGGGAUAGCCUUUCGAAAGAAAGAUUAAUACCCGAUGGUAUAAAGAGUUCGCAUGUUCUCUUUAUUAAAGAAUUUCGGUAAGCGAUGGGGAUGCGUUCCAUUAGAUAGUUGGCGGGGUAACGGCCCACCAAGUCUACGAUGGAUAGGGGUUCUGAGAGGAAGGUCCCCCACAUUGGAACUGAGACACGGUCCAAACUCCUACGGGAGGCAGCAGUGAGGAAUAUUGGUCAAUGGACGAGAGUCUGAACCAGCCAAAAGUAGCGUGAAGGAUGACUGCCCUAUGGGUUGUAAACUUCUUUUAUAAGGGAAUAAAGUGAGGGACGUGUCCCUUUUUGUAUGUACCUUAUGAAUAAGGAUCGGCUAACUCCGUGCCAGCCGCCGC